GCAAAUGAGGUGGAAGGGUAGGAGAGGAGCGCACUUGUUUACUGUUAGGAGGACAGGUGCUGCGGGGUUGGGUUGCGGGCGGGGCGGGGAAAAGACCAGAGUCAGAUUAGAGUAAGGCUUCCUGAACUUAUUUUUGGGCAAGGGGGAUUGAUGGUGGCGAAGGUUCCAACCAAGGGUCGGACCUGCCUGGGCGCGGGUCAGAUGUUCUGGACGUCAGCUGCCAUGACCUCCCUUAACGCCCUUGGACUGACUGCCGGGUGACUAUAUAAGGACUGGCCGUGCUGGGGGCUGCGAUCAGGGUCUGUGGAGCUGUCCCGGCGUCACCCGGUGGCAUCCUGGCUGUGCGCCAUGCUGCACUGUUUUGGGAGUUACAUCCUGGCCGACCUGCUUCUUGGGGAGCCCAUCAUUGACUACUUCAGCAACAGCUCCAGUAUCCUGCUGGCCUCCGGAGUGUGGUACUUGAUUUUCUUCUGUCCCUUGGACCUCUUCUACAAGUGCGUCUGCUUUCUGCCUGUAAAACUC
RNAcentral lists this long non-coding RNA (522 nucleotides) under Rattus norvegicus (Norway rat). Its description in RNAcentral is "long non-coding RNA NONRATT011817". The record is from RNAcentral. Lineage: Eukaryota; Metazoa; Chordata; Mammalia; Rodentia; Muridae.